GACGAACGCUGGCGGCGUGCUUAACACAUGCCAGUCGAACGGAAAGGCCCUGCUUGCAGGGUACUCGAGUGGCGAACGGGUGAGUAACACGUGGGUGAUCUGCCCUGCACUUCGGGAUAAGCCUGGGAAACUGGGUCUAAUACCGGAUAGGAGCCAUUUUUAGUGUGAUGGUUGGAAAGUUUUUUCGGUGUAGGAUGAGCUCGCGGCCUAUCAGCUUGUUGGUGGGGUAAUGGCCUACCAAGGCGGCGACGGGUAGCCGGCCUGAGAGGGUGGACGGCCACAUUGGGACUGAGAUACGGCCCAGACUCCUACGGGAGGCAGCAGUGGGGAAUAUUGCACAAUGGGCGCAAGCCUGAUGCAGCGACGCCGCGGGGGGGAUGACGGCCUUCGGGUUGUAAACUCCUUUCGCUAGGGACGAAGCUUUUUGUGACGGUACCUAGAUAAGAAGCACCGGCUAACUACGUG
RNAcentral lists this ribosomal RNA (465 nucleotides) under uncultured bacterium. RNAcentral describes it as "partial 16S ribosomal RNA". It matches the Rfam family "Bacterial small subunit ribosomal RNA", at positions 28 to 507 of the family's 1533-position model. The record is from RNAcentral.